Molecule: ribosomal RNA, 252 nt
Filed under: uncultured bacterium
Lineage: Bacteria
Description: partial 16S ribosomal RNA
Rfam family: Bacterial small subunit ribosomal RNA
Source: RNAcentral
UACAGAGGUCCCGAGCGUUGUUCGGAUUCAUUGGGCGUAAAGGGUGCGUAGGCGGCUUCCUAAGUUUGAUGUGAAAUCCUGGGGCUCAACCCUGGAACUGCAUUGAAUACUGGGAGGCUAGAGUACUGGAGAGGAAACUGGAAUUUACGGUGUAGCAGUGAAAUGCGUAGAGAUCGUAAGGAAGACCAGUGGCGAAGGCGAGUUUCUGGACAGUUACUGACGCUGAGGCACGAAGGCCAGGGGAGCAACGGG